This 497-nucleotide ribosomal RNA is filed under the name uncultured bacterium. Its description in RNAcentral is "partial 16S ribosomal RNA". It matches the Rfam family "Bacterial small subunit ribosomal RNA", at positions 28 to 507 of the family's 1533-position model. The record is from RNAcentral.
GAUGGACGCUGGCGGCGUGCCUAAUACAUGCAAGUCGAGCGAACAGAUAAGGAGCUUGCUCCUUUGACGUUAGCGGCGGACGGGUGAGUAACACGUGGGUAACCUACCUAUAAGACUGGGAUAACUUCGGGAAACCGGAGCUAAUACCGGAUAACAUUUGGAACCGCAUGGUUCUAAAGUGAAAGAUGGUUUUGCUAUCACUUAUAGAUGGACUCGCGCCGUAUUAGCUAGUUGGUAAGGUAACGGCUUACCAAGGCGACGAUACGUAGCCGACCUGAGAGGGUGAUCGGCCACACUGGAACUGAGACACGGUCCAGACUCCUACGGGAGGCAGCAGUAGGGAAUCUUCCGCAAUGGGCGAAAGCCUGACGGAGCAACGCCGCGUGAGUGAUGAAGGGUUUCGGCUCGUAAAACUCUGUUAUUAGGGAAGAACAAAUGUGUAAGUAACUGUGCACGUCUUGACGGUACCUAAUCAGAAAGCCACGGCUAACUACGUG